RNAcentral lists this ribosomal RNA (460 nucleotides) under uncultured bacterium. Its description in RNAcentral is "partial 16S ribosomal RNA". It matches the Rfam family "Bacterial small subunit ribosomal RNA", at positions 338 to 795 of the family's 1533-position model. The record is from RNAcentral.
CCUACGGGUGGCAGCAGUGAGGAAUAUUGGUCAAUGGACGAGAGUCUGAACCAGCCAAGUAGCGUGAAGGAUGACUGCCCUAUGGGUUGUAAACUUCUUUUAUAUGGGACUAAAAUGUUCCACGUGUGGGAUUUUGUAUGUACCAUAUGAAUAAGGAUCGGCUAACUCCGUGCCAGCAGCCGCGGUAAUACGGAGGAUCCGAGCGUUAUCCGGAUUUAUUGGGUUUAAAGGGAGCGUAGGUGGAUUGUUAAGUCAGUUGUGAAAGUUUGCGGCUCAACCGUAAAAUUGCAGUUGAAACUGGCAGUCUUGAGUACAGUAGAGGUGGGCGGAAGUCGUGGUGUAGCGGUGAAAUGCUUAGAUAUCACGAAGAACUCCGAUUGCGAAGGCAGUUCACUGGACUGCAACUGACACUGAGGCUCGAAAGUGUGGGUAUCAAACAGGAGUAGAUACCCUUGUAGUC